Molecule: ribosomal RNA, 57 nt
Filed under: Dunaliella tertiolecta
Lineage: Eukaryota; Viridiplantae; Chlorophyta; Chlorophyceae; Chlamydomonadales; Dunaliellaceae
Description: partial Eukaryotic large subunit ribosomal RNA
Source: RNAcentral
UAGAGCGCCGAGUUACCUGGGGUACCUGGGGUGACCAGGCUGGGUUGCCAGGUUUGU